CUAAGGUAGCGAAAUUCCUUGUCGGGUAAGUUCCGACCUGCACGAAUGGCGUAAUGAUGGCCAGGCUGUCUCCACCCGAGACUCAGUGAAAUUGAACUCGCUGUGAAGAUGCAGUGUACCCGCGGCAAGACGGAAAGACCCCGUGAACCUUUACUAUAGCUUGACACUGAACAUUGAGCCUUGAUGUGUAGGAUAGGUGGGAGGCUUAGAAGUGUGGACGCCAGUCUGCAUGGAGCCGACCUUGAAAUACCACCCUUUAAUGUUUGAUGUUCUAACGUUGACCCGUAAUCCGGGUUGCGGACAGUGUCUGGUGGGUAGUUUGACUGGGGCGGUCUCCUCCUAAAGAGUAACGGAGGAGCACGAAGGUUGGCUAAUCCUGGUCGGACAUCAGGAGGUUAGUGCAAUGGCAUAAGCCAGCUUGACUGCGAGCGUGACGGCGCGAGCAGGUGCGAAAGCAGGUCAUAGUGAUCCGGUGGUUCUGAAUGGAAGGGCCAUCGCUCAACGGAUAAAAGGUACUCCGGGGAUAACAGGCUGAUACCGCCCAAGAGUUCAUAUCGACGGCGGUGUUUGGCACCUCGAUGUCGGCUCAUCACAUCCUGGGGCUGAAGUAGGUCCCAAGGGUAUGGCUGUUCGCCAUUUAAAGUGGUACGCGAGCUGGGUUUAGAACGUCGUGAGACAGUUCGGUCCCUAUCUGCCGUGGGCGCUGGAGAACUGAGGGGGGCUGCUCCUAGUACGAGAGGACCGGAGUGGACGCAUCACUGGUGUUCGGGUUGUCAUGCCAAUGGCACUGCCCGGUAGCUAAAUGCGGAAGAGAUAAGUGCUGAAAGCAUCUAAGCACGAAACUUGCCCCGAGAUGAGUUCUCCCUGACUCCUUGAGAGUCCUGAAGGAACGUUGAAGACGACGACGUUGAUAGGCCGGGUGUGUAAGCGCAGCGAUGCGUUGAGCUAACCGGUACUAAUGAACCGUGAGGCUUAACCUUACAACGCCGAAGGUGUUU
RNAcentral lists this ribosomal RNA (998 nucleotides) under Escherichia coli. RNAcentral describes it as "bacterial LSU rRNA". It matches the Rfam family "Bacterial large subunit ribosomal RNA", at positions 1951 to 2925 of the family's 2925-position model. Lineage: Bacteria; Pseudomonadati; Pseudomonadota; Gammaproteobacteria; Enterobacterales; Enterobacteriaceae. The record is from RNAcentral.